Molecule: long non-coding RNA, 661 nt
Organism: Marmota monax (woodchuck)
Lineage: Eukaryota; Metazoa; Chordata; Mammalia; Rodentia; Sciuridae
Exons: 3
Source: RefSeq, a predicted model, not a curated record
ACAAGAAAUGUUUGUUUAUGAAGCAAUUGAGGGGAUGACGCUAAUGUAAGCAAGAGUCACUUAUGAAUGCCAGCAGGGCCUUCAGAAUUGCAGUGGCCGAAAUUAUAAGAAUUUUUAUAGAAAGAAAAACCUGAAAAUUCUGAAUGGUGAAUGGAAGAAUCCUAGGCAAAAGAGAGAAGUAAGAGCUUUCAGUGGGAAAUCUGCCAGCGAAGAAGGAAUGCCCUAAAAGGCUUGCAUUACAGUGGAAGAAGACUGAGCCUUGAGAUUGCCAACAACUCCUAAAGAGCCAGGCAAUGUGGGGCUGACUUCUUCCCUGGGGCUGUUGUCAUCAUCAUGGUCUUCAUCAACCCCAACAUAUGUUCCUGGUUACUACUCCCAGCUUUUCAGCUUCCUACAGGGAGACCAUCAUCUCAUGUGGAGGAUGGAAGCUGACAGUGCCCCCAAAGCCCGGCCUGGUGCCAGAAGGAUGCAUGGAGGGAGGACUGGAAUUGUAGCAUCUCUGCCUUGCACAGUCUGGCUGGAUCUACAGGUUUAGGAUAGAAGAUUCCUUGAGUUGAGCAAGUUCCCCUUUUCAGGCCCUCUUUAUCAACUGGCAGGGGUCAUGUCUACCAGUGAAAACAUACACGACAGACUCCAUGGUCACAUUUGAUUUUUGGAAGAU